AACGAACGCUGGCGGCAUGCCUAACACAUGCAAGUCGAACGAGACCUUCGGGUCUAGUUGCGCACGGGUGCGUAACGCGUGGGAACCUGCCCUUAGGUUCGGAAUAACUCCCCGAAAGGGGUGCUAAUACCGGAUAAUGUCUUCGGACCAAAGAUUUAUCGCCUUUGGAUGGGCCCGCGUUGGAUUAGCUAGUUGGUAGGGUAAAAGCCUACCAAGGCGACGAUCCAUAGCUGGUCGGAGAGGAGGAUCAGCCACACUGGGACUGAGACACGGCCCAGACUCCUACGGAAGGCAGCAGUAGGGAAUAUUGGACAAUGGGCGAAAGCCUGAUCCAGCAAUGCCGCGUGAGUGAUGAAGGCCUUAGGGUUGUAAAGCUCGUUUACCCGGGAUGAUAAUGACAGUACCGGGAGAAUAAGCUCCGGCUAACUCCGUG
RNAcentral lists this ribosomal RNA (433 nucleotides) under uncultured bacterium. RNAcentral describes it as "partial 16S ribosomal RNA". It matches the Rfam family "Bacterial small subunit ribosomal RNA", at positions 29 to 507 of the family's 1533-position model. The record is from RNAcentral.